AUGGGCGCAAGCCUGAUGCAGCCAUGCCGCGUAUGAAGAAGGCCUUCGGGUUGUAAAGUACUUUCAGCGGGGAGGAAGGCGAUAAGGUUAAUAACCUUGUCGAUCGACGUUACCCGCAGAAGAAGCACCGGCUAACUCCGUGCCAGCAGCCGCGGUAAUACGGAGGGUGCAAGCGUUAAUCGGAAUUACUGGGCGUAAAGCGCACGCAGGCGGUCUGUCAAGUCGGAUGUGAAAUCCCCGGGCUCAACCUGGGAACUGCAUUCGAAACUGGCAGGCUAGAGUCUUGUAGAGGGGGGUAGAAUUCCAGGUGUAGCGGUGAAAUGCGUAGAGAUCUGGAGGAAUACCGGUGGCGAAGGCGGCCCCCUGGACAAAGACUGACGCUCAGGUGCGAAAGCGUGGGGAGCAAACA
RNAcentral lists this ribosomal RNA (409 nucleotides) under uncultured bacterium. Its description in RNAcentral is "bacterial SSU rRNA". It matches the Rfam family "Bacterial small subunit ribosomal RNA", at positions 371 to 774 of the family's 1533-position model. RNAcentral also lists the same sequence under 1 other name. The record is from RNAcentral.